RNAcentral lists this ribosomal RNA (301 nucleotides) under uncultured bacterium. Its description in RNAcentral is "partial 16S ribosomal RNA". It matches the Rfam family "Bacterial small subunit ribosomal RNA", at positions 509 to 807 of the family's 1533-position model. The record is from RNAcentral.
CAGCAGCCGCGGUAAUACGUAGGGUGCGAGCGUUAAUCGGAAUUACUGGGCGUAAAGCGUGCGCAGGCGGUUCGUUAAGACAGAUGUGAAAUCCCCGGGCUUAACCUGGGAACUGCAUUUGUGACUGGCGAGCUAGAGUAUGGCAGAGGGGGGUAGAAUUCCACGUGUAGCAGUGAAAUGCGUAGAGAUGUGGAGGAAUACCGAUGGCGAAGGCAGCCCCCUGGGCCAAUACUGACGCUCAUGCACGAAAGCGUGGGGAGCAAACAGGAUUAGAGACCCGAGUAGUCCCUGUCUCUUAUAC